GUGGGGAAUAUUGGACAAUGGGCGAAAGCCUGAUCCAGCCAUGCCGCGUGUGUGAAGAAGGUCUUCGGAUUGUAAAGCACUUUAAGUUGGGAGGAAGGGCAGUAAGUUAAUACCUUGCUGUUUUGACGUUACCGACAGAAUAAGCACCGGCUAACUUCGUGCCAGCAGCCGCGGUAAUACGAAGGGUGCAAGCGUUAAUCGGAAUUACUGGGCGUAAAGCGCGCGUAGGUGGUUUUGUAAGUUGGAGGUGACAUCCCCGGGCUCAACCUGGGAACUGACUCCAAAACUGCAUGACUAGAGUACGGUAGAGUGUAGUGGAAUUUCCUGUGUAGCGGUGAAAUGCGUAGAUAUAGGAAGGAACACCAGUGGCGAAGGCGACUACCUGGACUGAUACUGACACUGAGGUGCGAAAGCGUGGGGAGCAAACAGGAUUAGAAACCCCGGUAGUCC
RNAcentral lists this ribosomal RNA (450 nucleotides) under uncultured bacterium. Its description in RNAcentral is "partial 16S ribosomal RNA". It matches the Rfam family "Bacterial small subunit ribosomal RNA", at positions 354 to 796 of the family's 1533-position model. The record is from RNAcentral.